Molecule: ribosomal RNA, 253 nt
Filed under: uncultured bacterium
Lineage: Bacteria
Description: partial 16S ribosomal RNA
Rfam family: Bacterial small subunit ribosomal RNA
Source: RNAcentral
UACGAAGGGGGCUAGCGUUGUUCGGAAUUACUGGGCGUAAAGCGCACGUAGGCGGACAUUUAAGUCAGGGGUGAAAUCCCGGGGCUCAACCUCGGAACUGCCUUUGAUACUGGGUGUCUUGAGUAUGGAAGAGGUAAGUGGAAUUGCGAGUGUAGAGGUGAAAUUCGUAGAUAUUAGGAAGAACACCAGUGGCGAAGGCGGCUCACUGGUCCGGUACUGACGCUGAGGUGCGAAAGCGUGGGGAGCAAACAGG